This 443-nucleotide ribosomal RNA is filed under the name uncultured bacterium. Its description in RNAcentral is "partial 16S ribosomal RNA". It matches the Rfam family "Bacterial small subunit ribosomal RNA", at positions 338 to 795 of the family's 1533-position model. The record is from RNAcentral.
CCUACGGAGGGCAGCAGUGGGGAAUAUUGGGCAAUGGGCGCGAGCCUGACCCAGCAACGCCGCGUGAAGGAAGAAGGCUUUCGGGUUGUAAACUUCUUUUCUCAGGGACGAAGCAAGUGACGGUACCUGAGGAAUAAGCCACGGCUAACUACGUGCCAGCAGCCGCGGUAAUACGGAGGUGGCAAGCGUUAUCCGGAUUUAUUGGGUGGAAAGGGCGUGUAGGCGGGAAAGCAAGUCAGAUGUGAAAACUCAGGGCUAAACCCUGAGCCUGCAUUUGAAACUGUUUUUCUUGAGUGCUGGGGAGGCAAUCGGAAUUCCGUGUGUAGCGGGGAAAUGCGUAGAUAUACGGAGGAACACCAGUGGCGAAGGCGGAUUGCUGGACAGUAACUGACGCUGAGGCGCGAAAGCGUGGGGAGCAAACAGGAUUAGAUACCCGAGUAGUC